GCGAGAGAUCACUUCCGGGGCUUUCCGGCGCUUGCGCAGACAGAAGCGCCCGUGCCCUCAGAGUACUUGGACGUGGCUGUGGUUAAAAGAGGUAAAAUGAUAUAAACACUGUUCGUUUUCUCACACAAACCGCUCGUUUCGUGUCUUAGCAAUGUGUACUUACAUUUACGAGUCAUUAAAUCAUGUUUAAUUUGGACUUCUCUGUGCAUGCUCUUUGAGGUGGUGACCAUAGACCUGCAUUAUAUGACUGACAGACAAGAACGGUUUGACCUAAAAAUAUCAAAAUGGAAAAUACUGUGGAAACAAAGACACCUACAUCUUGGAUGCCCUUGAGGAAACACCGGACCUACUGGACCCUUUCUGGUUGGUUGUAGGCUAUAGAGGCACCUGUCAGAACACAUGGAGAGGAAGUUUGCAGUGGUGCGGUGGAGUGAAGGGGAGGAUUUUGGGAAGCUCAGUGACAUAAAAACUGAUGCCAUAAGGGGGUAUGAUGAUUCCAAGAUGGACCAGGAUGGGAAUCCCUUUGCCACCUACUCAGCCGUAAUUGAAUGGCGCCAUGGGAGGAAACAACGAGGAGGCUGGCCUCACUACAGAGGCACUGUCAUUUUUGUUAGUGCUACUCGUUUUGAGACAAUCCGUAAACUGAACUCACUGCUGAAGGAAGAAGAACCUACAGAGCUGACAAAGAGGGCCUCAGUGGCCCCCCAAAAAUAUGGGGACUAUUCAGAUUGCUCAACUGAUAUUGAAACUCAGUCUCAGCAAGCAAAGAAGUCAAAGGCUCCCAGGAGGAUAGACCCUGCAGAAGAGUUUCUUAGGCUAUACGGUCAAUCACAGCCUUCUUCAGAUAAUCACAACAGUCCGACUCAGACUGUGGUUGAAUUAAAGCAGGAGAUCAAGGACCUGAAAGAAGAGAACGCGAAGUUGAAGGAGAUUGUUCUUCAAGAUGUGCCAGGACUCCUACUGAGCUUGAGGAAUAUAAUAGAUUCGGCUGCACCUCCUAAGAGAUCCAGGGUGGAGCCUACCAAAGCAUUACCGGCCCUUCCAGGGUCUCCGCAGUCCAGGUCCAGUUCUCCAUGUGCCACUUCGCUGUCCCUCCCCAGAUCUACGCUGUCCAGUUCCACAUCUGUGUCUCCAUCCCUGACUGCCUCCCAUUCUUCUAAGGUUGAGAUCCAUCCUGGGACCGGAGUCAUGGUUGAGAAACUGGCGUGGGCCUAUGCCAUCAAUGCCAAUUCGGCAACAGUCUUUGUGAGACAUCUGCUCACCGCAGUCUUUCCAGUGGAAAUACUGCUGGUGAGCAAUCUUCGGGGGAACAAACGAGGCGGAGGAGAGGCUCGUCAACCAUUAGACAAAAAUAAAUUGGAUGCCAUUUACAGUGCAACUCUUGAGAAGUGGCCUGGGACCCAGCUUUCCAGCAGUGGAAGUACGAUCAAUGCCAAGAUUACAGAACUCCGGUCAAAAAGUAAAAAUGCUGGUGUGUACACAGCUCCACAUUAAACUGUUUUGUUUGCUCUGAGUUUCACACAGGUGUGUCACAUAGUCCUUGGGCCUGGGGCAAAACAGGUUCUGACUACUGUCUACUGAAAGUAUUUACUGCUUAUAGUGCCUGUUUAUUCUGAGGUAUCCAGUGUGCAGAAGAACAAAACUGGCAUAUAUGUAAGCCAUUAAGGCAUUUUAAGUUUACAUUCUAAAAUGUUUUUGUUUGUGUACUUUGCAAUUUCAAAAUCGAGUAUACUCAAAAUAUCUAAGUAAACAGUAUAGGCAAUAUUAGCAUUAUGCUCAGAGCGAUUGAUUGCACUUAAGCCCCAUGCCUCGUUCCUUGAAUGUGAAUACACCUGUUUGUAUUGACAAUGUUUAGUUGUUG
Long non-coding RNA from Cyprinus carpio carpio, 1861 nucleotides. The record is from Ensembl. Lineage: Eukaryota; Metazoa; Chordata; Actinopteri; Cypriniformes; Cyprinidae.